CAGGUGUAACAGUGCCUACAGGUGUAACAGUGUCUACAGGUGUAACAGUGUCUACAGGUGUAACAGUGCCUACAGGUGUAACAGUGUCUACAGGUGUAACAGUG
Molecule: non-coding RNA, 104 nt
Organism: Pimephales promelas (fathead minnow)
Lineage: Eukaryota; Metazoa; Chordata; Actinopteri; Cypriniformes; Leuciscidae
Source: RefSeq, a predicted model, not a curated record